Molecule: unclassified non-coding RNA, 211 nt
Filed under: Hevea brasiliensis (rubber tree)
Lineage: Eukaryota; Viridiplantae; Streptophyta; Magnoliopsida; Malpighiales; Euphorbiaceae
Source: RNAcentral
AGUUAUGGAGCUUUGUGCUGGUGGAGAGCUUUUUGAUAGGAUCGUUGAGAAGGGGCAUUACAGUGAAAGGGAAGCUGCGAAGCUUAUUAAAACUAUUGUUGGAGUGGUUGAAGGUUGUCAUUCGCUAGGGGUCAUGCAUAGAGACCUCAAACCUGAGAAUUUCUUGUUUCUCAGUUCAGAUGAAGAUGCUGCUCUCAAGGCCACUGAUUUU